AUUGAACGCUGGCGGCGUGCUUAACACAUGCAAGUCGAGCGGCAGCGGGCCCGCAAGGGUGCCGGCGAGCGGCGGACGGGUGAGCAAUACAUAGGAAUCUGCCUCAGAGCGGGGGAUAGCCAGGGGAAACCCUGAUUAAUACCGCAUGAUGUCGAAAGACCAAAGUGGGGGACCGUAAGGCCCCACACUCUGAGAUGAGCCUAUGUCGGAUUAGCUAGUGGCGGGGUAACGGCCCACCAAGGCGACGAUCCGUAGCUGGUCUGAGAGGACGAUCAGCCACACCGGAACUGAGACACGGUCCGGACUCCUACGGGAGGCAGCAGUUGGGGAAUAUUGGACAAUGGGCGAAAGCCUGAUCCAGCGACGCCGCGU
Molecule: ribosomal RNA, 372 nt
Filed under: uncultured bacterium
Lineage: Bacteria
Description: bacterial SSU rRNA
Rfam family: Bacterial small subunit ribosomal RNA
Source: RNAcentral